CGACCGCUGGCGGCGUGCCUACUACAUGCAAGUUGAGCGCUGAAGGUUGGUACUUGUACCAACUGGAUGAGCAGCGAACGGGUGAGUAACGCGUGGGGAAUCUGCCUUUGAGCGGGGGACAACAUUUGGAAACGAAUGCUAAUACCGCAUAAAAACUUUAAACACAAGUUUUAAGUUUGAAAGAUGCAAUUGCAUCACUCAAAGAUGAUCCCGCGUUGUAUUAGCUAGUUGGUGAGGUAAAGGCUCACCAAGGCGAUGAUACAUAGCCGACCUGAGAGGGUGAUCGGCCACAUUGGGACUGAGACACGGCCCAAACUCCUACGGGAGGCAGCAGUAGGGAAUCUUCGGCAAUGGACGAAAGUCUGACCGAGCAACGCCGCGUGAGUGAAGAAGGGUUUCGGAUCGUAAAACUCUGUUGGUAGAGAAGAACGUUGGUGAGAGUGGAAAGCUCAUCAAGUGACGGUAACUACCCAGAAAGGGACGGCUAACUACGUG
RNAcentral lists this ribosomal RNA (495 nucleotides) under uncultured bacterium. Its description in RNAcentral is "partial 16S ribosomal RNA". It matches the Rfam family "Bacterial small subunit ribosomal RNA", at positions 30 to 507 of the family's 1533-position model. The record is from RNAcentral.